UACGUAGGGUGCGAGCGUUGUCCGGAAUUAUUGGGCGUAAAGGGCUCGUAGGCGGUUUGUCGCGUCGGGAGUGAAAACUCAGGGCUUAACCCUGAGCCUGCUUCCGAUACGGGCAGACUAGAGGUAUGCAGGGGAGAACGGAAUUCCUGGUGUAGCGGUGAAAUGCGCAGAUAUCAGGAGGAACACCGGUGGCGAAGGCGGUUGCCUGGAGCUUUGCUGACGCUGAGGCGCGAAAGCGUGGGGAGCGAUCCGG
RNAcentral lists this ribosomal RNA (253 nucleotides) under uncultured bacterium. Its description in RNAcentral is "partial 16S ribosomal RNA". It matches the Rfam family "Bacterial small subunit ribosomal RNA", at positions 524 to 776 of the family's 1533-position model. The record is from RNAcentral.